GUGGAUAUAGUACAAGUGGAAUGGAAGGUUAGUGUGUGUGUGUGGAUAUAGUACAAGUGGAAUGGAAGGUUAGUGUGUGUGUGUGUGUGUGUGUGUGUGUGUGUGUGUGUGUGUGUGUGUGUGUGUGUGUGUGUGUGUGUGUGUGUGUGUGUGUGUGUAUAGUACUAGUGGAAUGGAAGGUUAGUGUGUGUGUGUGUGUGUGUGUGUGUGUGUGUGUAUAUAGUACUAGUGGAAAGGAAGGUUAGUGUGUGUGUGUGUAUAGUACUAGUGGAAUGGAAGGUUAGUGUGUGUGUGUGUGUGUGUGUGUGUGUGUGUGUGUGUGUGUGUGUGUGUGUUGUUGAGUAUAGUACUAGUGGAAUGGAAGGUUUAGUGUGUGGUGUGUGUGUGUGUGUGUGUGUGUGUGUGUGUGUGUGUGUGUGUGUGUGUGUGUGUGUGUGUGUGUGUAUAGUACGAGUGGAAUGGAAGGUCAGUGUGUGUGUGUGUGGAUAUAGUACUAGUGGAAUGGAAGGUUAGUGUGUGUGUGUGUAUAGUACUAGUGGAAUGGAAGGUUAGUGUGUGUGUGUGUGUGUGUGUGUGUGUGUGUGUGUGUGUGUGUGUGUGUGUGUGUGUGUGUGGAUAUAGUACUAGUGGAAUGGAAGGUCAGUGUGUGUGUGUGUGUGGAUAUAGUACUAGUGGAAUGGAAGGUUAGUGUGUGUGUGUGUGUAUAUAGUACUAGUGGAAUGGAAGGUUAGUGAGUGUGUGUGUGUGUGUGUGUGUGUGUGUGUGUGUGUGUGUGUGUGUGUGUGUGUAUAUAGUACUAGUGGAAAGGAAGGUUAGUGUGUGUGUG
Molecule: long non-coding RNA, 826 nt
Organism: Oncorhynchus keta (chum salmon)
Lineage: Eukaryota; Metazoa; Chordata; Actinopteri; Salmoniformes; Salmonidae
Exons: 3
Source: RefSeq, a predicted model, not a curated record